UUGGAGGCUCUGGUAUGCUCUGAUGGUAGGAGGAGAUGGUACAGGGAGGCCACAAAGACUGAUGCUCUUUGGUUCUCCAGUUGUCUUUCAGGAGGUGUAGCCUGGUUGUGGCCUGGGGAGUUUGGCUGUUCUGUGUGGUGUGCCUCCACGGUGUGGUCUCCAGUGAGCUGCUCAGCAGGUGUAGACCCGGGCAGGGCGAAGCUCUCUGGGCUGUUGACUGUGAGGCCCCUCCCCACCGGUAGAUUUCCAAGCCUCUUCAGUUUUGCAUUCAGCCACAGCAGAAUCCGAAUGAAUACUGAGUGCUAAAGGAAGAUUUUUAGGUUGAAUGAAAAGGAUAUUGAAUAGAAACUUGGACUUAUAAGAGUUUCAGAAAUGGUAAACUCCUCCAGGGCAGGACCUGACUCUUCAGAGGAAUUUUUUAAUCCCCCUCCCCAGAAGUGCCCACGUCAAGGCCAUAGUAGAGAAGGAGCUCAAGAGCAAUCCCUAAGCAACCACGCUUGGAAGCAUCCUGCAACAGAGGGAUUUGUUCCAGACUCAGAUUUAAUCCACUAUUACCUUUUCGUAAGACAAGUGUUGUCUGAAGGAGUCUGUGUGUAAUUUUGAGACAAAAGGAUUGCAGAACUCAGCUCCCAGGUUGUCUCAUAUCUGAUUCUUCGAAAGAGGAAAAGAAGCGAACUCUUCUGCACAAUAGCUGAGCAGAUAGGAGAGAAAAAGCUUGAAGAUUCACAGUGGAGCAAGGCUAAUUGGAGCCUUCCUCAGAGCAGCUCAACUAUCCCAGUUUUACCUAUCCCAUUCCUUGCCAUUCCCACUUGUAAUUCUGUCUUGGCAAGAACACCAUACUGAAGGUUCUUAAAGCAGUUUGUAGACUUUAAUUAGUUCUGUGGAAAGUCAGUCAAAGCUCAGCCUUCAUUCUGCCAACAGAGACAACAGUGGUGGGUGUGGAAGGAAGGCAAGAAGAAGAUGGACACCCAGAGCAGUUGUGCAACUUACUGAAGGCCAUGUGGAUAGGAGGAACUGGGUUUAAAACCCCUGAGUCUUGAUAAAAGUGUCUUAGCCUUCUAGAUUCCUAAACAGGUAGUGGGCUCAUCCUACUAACCUACUUUGCUAGGGUGUUGUUGAUGAAUGCUUAUAAACCCUGUCCUAGAUGAUAGGUUUGGAAGAUUGUUAAAGAAAGCAUGUCAUUAAGUCCCUACUCACCCCCUCCUUGACAAAUAGCCCUGGAGGGAAAUGAAUAUUAGCCAGAAUCGUAGGGCCUCCACUUCAAUGGAAUGAACUGAGAUUCAACAACAAGAGAAAUGUUCCAACAGUGAGGGAAAUCAACAAUGUGCUGGGGGUGAAGGGUAGGGGUUGGGAAGGCCUAAACAGGUGACCAUUGCCAGACAGCCCAGACAAGAUCAUCACAGAAUAGCUGAUUCCCAUUAGACACUGUGGGUGAUCAUUAUCUUAAAAUUCAGGACACUAUUUUUGUAGUAGUUUCCCUUCCUCUCUUUGUAAGAGCAGAAGACCUCUCUGGGGCCUAUCACAAGACAAGCGGGUGUUUGCAAAUGAGGGACGUACUUUGAGACUGAAUUGCUCUGUGCUUCUCUAAAAGACAUGGUUAAGAGUUUGGGCGCUGAUGUUAGAGACUGAGAUUAAAAUCCUUCCUUGCCACUUCCAUCAGUAUAAAUUUGGAUAAGUUUCUUAACUUCUCUAAGCCUUGAUUUUCUCACCUAUAAAAUGGGCCUAAUAAUAGUGCCUAACUUAGAGGUUUGUUGUAAAGGUUAAAUGCAAUUAUUCAGGUAAAGCCUUAAUGGAGCCUGAUAUGUAGUAAGCACUCAAUCCAUUUUAUCUACUGACUCUUUUCUCUGUGUGGGUUACCCACUUUGGAGAUUGUCCCCAGUAAUUUCUUUGGUCAAGUCUUGAUCUCCCUGGCCCCUUGGCUGUCUUCUCCCACCAUGAUCAGUGAGAAGUUGAGGAGCACUAAUACCAAAUUCUUUUUCAUGUUAGUUAGGAGAAAGCAGAAUUACGAAGGUCAACCUGCUGGUGUAAAAAAAUAUUACAUAGAUUAGCCCUGCUCUACAUAUUAGAUAUGUUCUCAAAAUGCCUAAGUGGCCUUUUUUUUUUUUUUUAAUUUAAGUUCUAGGGUACAUGUGCACAACGUGCAGGUUUGUUACAUGUGUAUACAUGUGCCAUGUUGGUGUGUGGCACCCAUUAACUUGUCAUUUACAUUAGGUAUAUCUCCUA
This 2223-nucleotide long non-coding RNA is filed under the name Homo sapiens (human). RNAcentral's name for it is "HSALNT0368381". Lineage: Eukaryota; Metazoa; Chordata; Mammalia; Primates; Hominidae. The record is from RNAcentral.